ACUGACAACACUCCCAGCAGCUGAGGGGGAUAAGACCUCCAGGCUCAAGGGUGAGCUCUACGGCCCAACACAGCGUCCACCACACUGACGCAAUAUGAUGCCGACAAAAUAAACAGGCUUUUCGAUCUUCUGUAACUUGAAGGAACUGUCACAGCCACCUCAACCUUCAGCAACCACCACUGUUCAAGGCAACAUCCUUCAGCAGCAGAAAGAUUGACUCGCUGUAGGCUCAGACAUGGGGCCUCACUAUGUUUCACAGGCUGGUCUAAAACUCCUGAGCUCCAGGGAUCUGCCUGCCUCCGCUUCCCAAAGUGGUGGGAUUGUAGGCAUGAGCCAUCAUGCCUGGCCUGCUGUGAGUUUUAAAUAAAAAUGUAAAUGCUCUUCUCCAUUUUCUUACCUCUCCUUUUAAAGUGUGUGUGUGUGUGUUUUUUUUUUAAUGUCAUAUAAGUAAUACGUAUUCGUGGUAGAAAUAUUUUUUUAAAAAAUAGAAGCAAAAAAGUCACAAUCAUCCUAAUUAUCACUAUUUGUAGAUAAUCACUACAUUUUGACACAUAUAAUUCUAGAGUUUUACCUAUAUAAAUGAUACACUUAUUACUAUCUGUAGGCACUAUGUUAAGCAUUUUAUAUUAUCUUUGUUUUUCUUUCUAAUGGCUUUAUAAAAUUUGGUUUGUGUUUAUAUUCUAAGUAGAAAACUAAGGUAUACAGAAGCUUGCUUAACAUCCCAAAGAAAGAUAAUAAGUAUAGUUGGAAUUUGUUAUACAUUCCACUAAAAUUUUCUUCUAAUAAAAAUUGGAUCUGUCUUUAACAAACAUUCUGCAGCAUUUAUGUCCAUUAAAUCUUCAUGUGUGGUUUAAGGGUUAUUCCUGAAGUCUCUAGAUCACAUGCUCCCAAAGUUUUUCCUGUGCUUCUUAUUUUGAGGCUCAUAUUACCCUUGUAAAUACUGCUUUCAUACAUGAUUUAUAGUUAUUAUGCAUCUUAAUAACUUAUCAAUUUUAAAAUGUUGACAUCAUCAGACUGUAAGCUCUGCAAGCAGAAAGCCUACAGUUCCCACAACCAGUUCCAUGCUGCGUAUCAUCAUAGGUACCUGGUAAGUAAGUGUAUUGCUUAAUAUCCAAGUGAAAAACAUUGUUAUAUUUGAUCAUGCAAAUAAAUACAGGUCACAGCACUGUUUGUAAUGGUUGCAU
RNAcentral lists this long non-coding RNA (1184 nucleotides) under Homo sapiens (human). RNAcentral's name for it is "HSALNT0367111". Lineage: Eukaryota; Metazoa; Chordata; Mammalia; Primates; Hominidae. The record is from RNAcentral.